ACGAACGCUGGCGGCGUGCUUAACACAUGCAAGUCGAACGGAAAGGCCCUGCUUUUGUGGGGUGCUCGAGUGGCGAACGGGUGAGUAACACGUGAGUAACCUGCCCUUGACUUUGGGAUAACUUCAGGAAACUGGGGCUAAUACCGGAUAGGAGCUCCUGCUGCAUGGUGGGGGUUGGAAAGUUUCGGCGGUUGGGGAUGGACUCGCGGCUUAUCAGCUUGUUGGUGGGGUAGUGGCAUACCAAGGCUUUGACGGGUAGCCGGCCUGAGAGGGUGACCGGCCACAUUGGGACUGAGAUACGGCCCAGACUCCUACGGGAGGCAGCAGUGGGGAAUAUUGCACAAUGGGCGGAAGCCUGAUGCAGCAACGCCGCGUGCGGGAUGACGGCCUUCGGGUUGUAAACCGCUUUCGCCUGUGACGAAGCGUGAGUGACGGUAAUGGGUAAAGAAGCACCGGCUAACUACGUG
This 467-nucleotide ribosomal RNA is filed under the name uncultured bacterium. RNAcentral's name for it is "partial 16S ribosomal RNA". It matches the Rfam family "Bacterial small subunit ribosomal RNA", at positions 29 to 507 of the family's 1533-position model. The record is from RNAcentral.